This 484-nucleotide ribosomal RNA is filed under the name uncultured bacterium. RNAcentral describes it as "partial 16S ribosomal RNA". It matches the Rfam family "Bacterial small subunit ribosomal RNA", at positions 30 to 507 of the family's 1533-position model. The record is from RNAcentral.
AUUGAACGCUGGCGGCAGGCCUAACACAUGCAAGUCGAGCGGAUGAAGGGAGCUUGCUCCUGGAUUCAGCGGCGGACGGGUGAGUAAUGCCUAGGAAUCUGCCUGGUCGUGGGGGAUAACGUCCGGAUACGGGCGCUAAUACCGCAUACGUCCUGAGGGAGAAAGUGGGGGAUCUUCGGACCUCACGCUAUCAUAUGAGCCUAGGUCGGAUUAGCUAGUUGGUGGGGUAAAGGCCUACCAAGGCGACGAUCCGUAACUGGUCUGAGAGGAUGAUCAGUCACACUGGAACUGAGACACGGUCCAGACUCCUACGGGAGGCAGCAGUGGGGAAUAUUGGACAAUGGGCGAAAGCCUGAUCCAGCCAUGCCGCGUGUGUGAAGAAGGUCUUCGGAUUGUAAAGCACUUUAAGUUGGGAGGAAGGGCAGUAAGUUAAUACCUUGCUGUUUUGACGUUACCAACAGAAUAAGCACCGGCUAACUUCGUG